ACGAAAUCGAUGAUGGAAAAAAGACAUGUAUAACGUCAACAGAGAGUCGGUGGUUGGUGCAAACCGAUGACAAGUCCUUGUCUUAGCAUUCCUGAGAAAUUGCAUUGAAUACAAGUAGGUGCAAUCGGAUAAACUCCGUUAUCAGUUAUGGUCACUAGGUGAUCAUUUGAGGCUGCUUCUAUAAUGGCAGUGAAUUAGGGUGGUACCACGAACAACUCUCGUCCCUUAC
Molecule: non-coding RNA, 229 nt
Filed under: Paenibacillus sp.
Lineage: Bacteria; Bacillati; Bacillota; Bacilli; Caryophanales; Paenibacillaceae
Description: T-box sequence
Rfam family: T-box leader
About the family: Uncharged tRNA acts as the effector for transcription antitermination of genes in the T-box leader family.
Source: RNAcentral